AUUGAACGCUGGCGGCAUGCUUUACACAUGCAAGUCGAACGGCAGCACGGGUGCUUGCACCUGGUGGCGAGUGGCGGACGGGUGAGUAAUACAUCGGAACGUGUCCAGAAGAGGGGGAUAACGCAUCGAAAGAUGUGCUAAUACCGCAUAUGCUCUGAGGAGGAAAGUAGGGGAUCGAAAGACCUUACGCUUUUGGAGCGGCCGAUGUCUGAUUAGCUAGUUGGUGGGGUAAGGGCCUACCAAGGCGACGAUCAGUAGUUGGUCUGAGAGGACGACCAGCCACACUGGGACUGAGACACGGCCCAGACUCCUACGGGAGGCAGCAGUGGGGAAUUUUGGACAAUGGGCGCAAGCCUGAUCCAGCAAUGCCGCGUGAGUGGAGAAGG
This 386-nucleotide ribosomal RNA is filed under the name uncultured bacterium. RNAcentral's name for it is "bacterial SSU rRNA". It matches the Rfam family "Bacterial small subunit ribosomal RNA", at positions 30 to 414 of the family's 1533-position model. The record is from RNAcentral.